ACCUGGGUGGCUUAGUCGGUUAAGCAUCUGACUUCCACUCAGGUUAUGAUCCCAGGUC
This 58-nucleotide transfer RNA is filed under the name Mustela putorius furo (domestic ferret). The record is from Rfam by way of RNAcentral. Lineage: Eukaryota; Metazoa; Chordata; Mammalia; Carnivora; Mustelidae.